Molecule: long non-coding RNA, 1185 nt
Filed under: Lactuca sativa (garden lettuce)
Lineage: Eukaryota; Viridiplantae; Streptophyta; Magnoliopsida; Asterales; Asteraceae
Description: long non-coding RNA (LSAT_LNC005803)
Source: RNAcentral
AUUAUAUUAAUUAUUUGUUUUAUAAUACUAUGAAUUAUGAAAUCAUUAUUUUAUAUAUUGUUAUUUUAUAUUUUACUGCAAGUUAUUAUGUCAUUUUGAUCGAAAGCCAAUGGACUAAUGAUCGUUUUCAGCUGCCAAACAUAAUGAUUAACAUAAACUGAAAAAUAAUGUUUUGAAGAAUGACGAAAAUCGAAAUAACUGAUUCGUUUGGAUUUCGAAUUACGUCUAAUUUCUUUUCCAUCAUCCAAGAUAUACGAAGAAAUUUGGGUUUUCGUUUGUGAAAUUGUUGGUGUUUGUGAUCAUAUCAUCAAUUAAUCAUCUUCAAUUCUUCACGCAACUGAUUAUUACUUUUAAACAGCGUGGCAUCAUAAAUUUCAUCCUCAAGAUUUCAUUAUUUGAACACUAUCGGACUCUCUACUUAUCCUAUUACUCAGACUAGAGAUUUGCAUCCACUUGGAUUCACUGAUCGUAGGCAACAAGCAGCAACUGGAAGGUAUGUAUAUAUGCAUUUAUGAUUUGUAAAUAUUUAAGAAAGUUAACAUGUCACUGGAAUGCUCUCCAAGUGUUCGAUGAAAGUACACGAGUUUAAUAGCCCAAAAUCUUAGUUCGUGAACAAUACCAUUGUGCAAAUAUGAACUUUAGAGCUCCCUUAACAAAACAAUUACUGAGUAAUUUCAUCUCAUCAAGAUUUAUUUCCAUUUUCCACUUUCAUUCUCUUAUUCAUCAUAUCACUUUUUGCUAUACGUUACACUAAAAAGAACCAAAAGAAAGAAAUAAAAAAGUAAUGUAAAAACAAGCUUUUAUUUUUUUUACAGAUGAAGGGAAGUAUCAACAUCAGGUUUCUCAUGAACACACGAUGUGCUAACUGUUACUGAAUCCAUAGACCAGAAAUCUCUAAAAGGUGGAGUCUUUGAUGCUUGGUGUUCUGUUUUCUUUCCAAAUAAAUCAAGUCCAAGUGAUAAAGAUUCUUGAAACGAUGAUCUUGCUUUCAUUUCUUCAGGGUGCACCAAUCGCUCAUAAUGCUUUGUUUUUUUGCUCUUGGUUUCAGAUUCAGAAAGCAACUUCAACACUGCCAUUUCUUCUCUCUUCUCCCUCAUUUUUUCCAGCUGUCUGAAUCUUUCUUGCAGGAGAGCAAUGGAGGAAGAACCACCACCACCACCACCACCAACCACCAUUGGAUCACCA